RNAcentral lists this ribosomal RNA (487 nucleotides) under Adesmus clathratus. Its description in RNAcentral is "partial large subunit ribosomal RNA". Lineage: Eukaryota; Metazoa; Arthropoda; Insecta; Coleoptera; Cerambycidae. The record is from RNAcentral.
GUYUUUUUGAGGAUAAUUUAAAGUUUGACCUGCCCCCUGAGAAUUUAAAGGGCCGCGGUAUUUUGACCGUGCUAAGGUAGCAUAAUCAUUAGUUUUUUAAUUGAAAGCUAGAAUGAAUGGUUGGAUGAAAAAAAAACUGUCUCUUUUUUAUUUUAUUGAAUUUUAUUUUUAAGUAAAAAAGCUUAAAUGAAUUUUAAAGACGAUAAGACCCUAUAGAGUUUAAUAAAAUUAAUUUUAUUAAAUUUUUAGAAAUUUAAUUUUAAUUUAUUGGUUUUAUUUAGUUGGGGUGAUUAAAAAAUUAAUAAAACUUUUUAUAAUUAAAUUUCAUUAAUUUAUGUUUAAUUGAUCUUAUUUUAUUGAUUAAAAGAUUAAAUUACCUUAGGGAUAACAGCGUAAUUUUUUUUGAGAGUUCAAAUCGAAAGGAAAGCUUGCGACCUCGAUGUUGGAUUAAAAUUAAUUUUUGGUGUAGAGGCUAAAAAAUUAGGUC